AUAUUGGGCAAUGGGCGCAAGCCUGACCCAGCAACGCCGCGUGAAGGAAGAAGGCUUUCGGGUUGUAAACUUCUUUUAUGAGGGACGAAGGAAGUGACGGUACCUCAUGAAUAAGCCACGGCUAACUACGUGCCAGCAGCCGCGGUAAUACGUAGGUGGCAAGCGUUGUCCGGAAUUACUGGGUGUAAAGGGCGUGUAGGCGGAGCUGCAAGUCAGAUGUGAAAUCUCCGGGCUUAACCCGGAAACUGCAUUUGAAACUGUAGCCCUUGAGUAUCGGAGAGGCAAGCGGAAUUCCUAGUGUAGCGGUGAAAUGCGUAGAUAUUAGGAGGAACACCAGUGGCGAAGGCGGCUUGCUGGACGACAACUGACGCUGAGGCGCGAAAGCGUGGGGAGCAAACAG
Molecule: ribosomal RNA, 400 nt
Filed under: uncultured bacterium
Lineage: Bacteria
Description: bacterial SSU rRNA
Rfam family: Bacterial small subunit ribosomal RNA
Source: RNAcentral